This 496-nucleotide ribosomal RNA is filed under the name uncultured bacterium. RNAcentral describes it as "bacterial SSU rRNA". It matches the Rfam family "Bacterial small subunit ribosomal RNA", at positions 32 to 524 of the family's 1533-position model. The record is from RNAcentral.
AAUCAACGCUGGCGGCGUGCCUCAGACAUGCAAGUCGAACGCGAAAGGUUCCUUCGGGAACCGAGUAGAGUGGCGCACGGGUGAGUAACACGUAGGUAAUUUGCCUUUGGGUGGGGAAUAACAGCCGGAAACGGCUGCUAAUACCGCAUAAUGCAGCGGCUCGACAUCGAGACAGUUGUUAAAGCGGGGGAUCGCAAGACCUCGCGCCUAAAGAGAAGCCUGCGGCAGAUUAGCUAGUUGGUAGGGUAAUGGCCUACCAAGGCGACGAUCUGUAACCGGCCUGAGAGGGCGGUCGGUCACACUGACACUGACAUACGGGUCAGACUCCUACGGGAGGCAGCAGUCGGGAAUUUUGGGCAAUGGGGGAAACCCUGACCCAGCAACGCCGCGUGAAGGAUGAAGUAUUUCGGUAUGUAAACUUCGGAAGAAUGGGAAGAAUCAAUGACGGUACCAUUUAUAAAGGUCCGGCUAACUACGUGCCAGCCGCCGCAGUAAU